RNAcentral lists this ribosomal RNA (483 nucleotides) under uncultured bacterium. RNAcentral's name for it is "partial 16S ribosomal RNA". It matches the Rfam family "Bacterial small subunit ribosomal RNA", at positions 28 to 507 of the family's 1533-position model. The record is from RNAcentral.
GAUGAACGCUAGCGGCAGGCCUAAUACAUGCAAGCCGAACGGCAAGAUUGAUAGCAAUCUUGGCCCUAGAGUGGCGCAAGGGUGCGUAACACGUAUGCAACCUGCCCGCGACAGGAGGAUAGCACCCCGAAAGGGGAAUUAACCCUCCAUAACACCAUGAGAAGGCAUCUGAUUAUGGUUAAACCGCAAGGGGUCGCGGAUGGGCAUGCGGUUGAUUAGCUAGUUGGCGGGGUAAAGGCCCACCAAGGCGGUGAUCAAUAGGGGUUCUGAGAGGAAGGUCCCCCGCACUGGCACUGAGACACGGGCCAGACUCCUACGGGAGGCAGCAGUAGGGAAUAUUGGACAAUGGUUGCAAGACUGCUCCAGCCAUGCCGCGUGCAGGAAGAAGGCCUUCUGGGUCGUAAACUGCUUGUUCCUGUGGAUAAAAUACCCGUGCGCGGGGAAUUGAAGGUAACAGGGGAAUAAGCCACGGCUAACUACGUG